RNAcentral lists this transfer RNA (76 nucleotides) under Flavobacteriales bacterium. RNAcentral describes it as "tRNA-Lys". It matches the Rfam family "tRNA". Rfam says of the family: Transfer RNA (tRNA) molecules are approximately 80 nucleotides in length. Their secondary structure includes four short double-helical elements and three loops (D, anti-codon, and T loops). Further hydrogen bonds mediate the characteristic L-shaped molecular structure. tRNAs have two regions of fundamental functional importance: the anti-codon, which is responsible for specific mRNA codon recognition, and the 3' end, to which the tRNAs corresponding amino acid is attached (by aminoacyl-tRNA synthetases). tRNAs cope with the degeneracy of the genetic code in two manners: having more than one tRNA (with a specific anti-codon) for a particular amino acid; and 'wobble' base-pairing, i.e. permitting non-standard base-pairing at the 3rd anti-codon position. The record is from RNAcentral. Lineage: Bacteria; Pseudomonadati; Bacteroidota; Flavobacteriia; Flavobacteriales.
GGGCCGCUAGCUCAACGGGUAGAGCACCGGACUUUUAAUCCGUAGGUUCAGGGUUCGAGUCCCUGGCGGCCCACCA